GUAAUAUACUAAUCCGUGCAUCCAUUAUAUAUCUUACACGUCAUGUGAACGUGCAUCGGUUCAUAAUGUUGUGUUUAUAAAUGUUAAUGGUAUGUGUGGUUGCACGGGUUUGUAUGUUGC
RNAcentral lists this microRNA precursor (120 nucleotides) under Oryza sativa Indica Group (long-grained rice). Its description in RNAcentral is "osa-MIR1429". Lineage: Eukaryota; Viridiplantae; Streptophyta; Magnoliopsida; Poales; Poaceae. The record is from RNAcentral.